This 1118-nucleotide ribosomal RNA is filed under the name Stenotrophomonas maltophilia. RNAcentral's name for it is "bacterial SSU rRNA". It matches the Rfam family "Bacterial small subunit ribosomal RNA", at positions 24 to 1136 of the family's 1533-position model. Lineage: Bacteria; Pseudomonadati; Pseudomonadota; Gammaproteobacteria; Lysobacterales; Lysobacteraceae. The record is from RNAcentral.
UCAGGGUAGGGGCUGUCUACCUGCAUUCGAACGGCAUGUUUUAUAGCUGGCUCUCUGGGUGGCGAGUGGGGGACGGGAGAGGAAUACAUCUGAAUCUACUCUGUCAUGGGGGAUAACGUAGGGAAACUUAUCCUAAUACCGCCUACGACCUACGGGUGAAGGCAGGGGAUCUUCGGACCUUGCCCGAUUGAAUGAACCGAUGUCGGAUUAGCUAGUUGGCGGGGUGAAGGCCCACCAAGGCAACUAUCCGUAGCUGGACUGAAAGGAUGAUCAGCCACACUGGAACUGAGACACGGACCCCACUCCUACGGGAGGCAGGAGUGGGGAAUAUUGGACAAUGGGCCCAAGCCUGAUCCACCCAUACCGCGUGGGUGAAGAAGGCCUUCGGGUUGUCAAGCCCUUUUGUUGGGAAGGAAAUCCAGCCGGCUAAUACCAGGAUGGGAUGACACUACCCAAAUAAUAAACACCGGCUACCUUCCUGCCAGCAGCCGCGGUAAUACGAAGGGUGCAAGCGUUACUCGGUAUUACUGGGCGUAAGGCCUGCGUAGGUGGUCGUUUAAGUCCGUUGUGAAGACGCGGGGCUCAACCUGUGAACUGCAGAGGAUACUGGGCGACUAGAGUGUGGAAGAGGGUAGCGGAAUUCCUGGUGUAGCAGUGAAAUGCGUAAGAUCAGGAGAUAACAUCCAUGACGAAUGCAGCUACCUGGACCUACGCUGACACUGAGACACAGAAGCGUGAGGAGCAAACAAGAUUACAUACCCUGAGUACUCCACGCCCUAAACGAUGCCAACUGGAUGUUGGGUGCAAUUUGGCACGCGCCCUCUAGCUAGCACGUUAAGCUCGCCGCCUGACGGAGUGCGGUAGCACGACUGAACCUCUGAGGUACUUGACGAGCCGCCCGCACCACCGGAGCAGUAUGUUGAUUUAUGUUUAUGCUACGUAGAACAGUAUUAGCAUGGUCAUUGAGUGUCGAAGUACCUUUCACGAGUGGAAGGGAUUGACUGCGAGUACCUCGACGACAGUGCUGCAUGUCUGUCAUCAUCUCCUGUCGUGAGAUGUCUGGGAUUAGCUCCGCUACGAGCGCAACUCUUUGUUACUUAGUUUGCCAGUAACGGAAU